AUGUUGGAGGUGGCUGUGUACGUGAGGUGGGAUAGGGAGUUCAGGCAUCAGGUUGAUGUCCUGUGUGUCAUCCACUCCGAAGACCCUCUCUUUGUGUCAUCUCUCUUCCCCUUCCUUUUCUUGACAGUUAGAACAACAGAGGCAGCAGUUGCUUACAGAACGCCAGAACUUCCACAUGGAACAGCUGAAAUAUGCCGAAUUGCGAGCCCGACAGCAAAUGGAACAGCAGCAGCAUGGGCAGAACCCGCAGCAGGCACACCAGCAUUCUGGAGGACCUGGCCUGGCGCCACUUGGAGCAGCAGGGCACCCCGGCAUGAUGCCUCAUCAGCAGCCCCCUCCCUACCCUCUGAUGCACCACCAGAUGCCACCACCUCAUCCACCCCAGCCAGGUCAGAUACCAGGUCCAGGUUCCAUGAUCCCUGGGCAGCCCAUGCCAGGCCGCAUGAUUCCCACCGUUGCAGCCAACAUCCACCCCCCUGGGAGUGGCCCAACCCCUCCUGGUAUGCCUCCAAUGCCAGGAAACAUCUUAGGACCCCGGGUUCCCCUCACGGCACCUAAUGGCAUGUGACCUGACCUAGUUUUGGCCAAAAAUCCAAGGACUGCAGUUCAGGAGCUGUGGGGCCUCCCAGGACUGUCCAGCUUGUCAGCAGCUGCCUCGAGUGAAGCUCUCUGGCCCCGGUGGAGACACUUAAUCAGCAAGAAGUUAUUGAUAAUCUGUUCUGUGCCCACCUAGGCCAGGCACUGAGAGAGAAAGAAAAGAAGACACAGAACUUGCCCAGGAAAGAGCUUUAUCAUUUAACUGAAGAAAUAAAAUUAGCAGAGAGAACCA
Molecule: long non-coding RNA, 829 nt
Filed under: Ursus americanus (American black bear)
Lineage: Eukaryota; Metazoa; Chordata; Mammalia; Carnivora; Ursidae
Description: lncRNA (ENSUAMG00000012011.1)
Source: RNAcentral